CCACGUAGGGCGCAAGCGUUGUCCGGAUUUAUUGGGCGUAAAGGGCUCGUAGGCGGUUUCGUAAGUCGGGUGUGAAAACUCAGGGCUCAACCCUGAGACGCCACUCGAUACUGCGAUGACUUGAGUCCGGUAGGGGAGCAGGGAAUUCCUGGUGUAGCGGUGAGAUGCGCAGAUAUCAGGAGGAACACCAUUAGCGAAGGCGCUGCUCUGGGCCGGUACUGACGCUGAGGAGCGAAAGCAUGGGGAGCAAACCGGAUUAGAAACCCUAGUAGUCC
This 275-nucleotide ribosomal RNA is filed under the name uncultured bacterium. RNAcentral describes it as "partial 16S ribosomal RNA". It matches the Rfam family "Bacterial small subunit ribosomal RNA", at positions 523 to 796 of the family's 1533-position model. The record is from RNAcentral.